Molecule: ribosomal RNA, 270 nt
Filed under: uncultured bacterium
Lineage: Bacteria
Description: partial 16S ribosomal RNA
Rfam family: Bacterial small subunit ribosomal RNA
Source: RNAcentral
AGCAUAGAGAGCUUGCUCUCUGAUGGCGAGUGGCGAACGGGUGAGUAAUAUAUCGGAACGUGCCUAGUAAUGGGGAAUAACUAAUCGAAAGAUUAGCUAAUACCGCAUACGACCUACGGGUGAAAGCAGGGGAUCUUCGGACCUUGCGCUAUCAGAUGAGCCUGCGUCGGAUUAGCUAGUUGGUAGGGUAAAGGCCUACCAAGGCGACGAUCCGUAGCUGGUCUGAGAGGAUGAUCAGCCACACUGGAACUGAGAUACGGCCCAGACUCC